GUGGGGAAUAUUGCACAAUGGGCGCAAGCCUGAACCAGCCAUCCCGCGUGCAGGAAGACGGCGCUAUGCGUUGUAAACUGCUUUUCCAGGGAGAGAAACUUGCGCACGUGUUGCGCAAUUGACGGUACCCUGGGAAUAAGCAUCGGCUAACUCCGUGCCAGCAGCCGCGGUAAUACGGAGGAUGCGAGCGUUAUCCGGAUUCAUUGGGUUUAAAGGGUGCGUAGGCGGACUAUUAAGUCAGUGGUGAAAUCCUGCAGCUUAACUGCAGAACUGCCAUUGAUACUGAUAGCCUUGAGUUUGGUUAAGGUAGGCGGAAUGUGUAAUGUAGCGGUGAAAUGCUUAGAUAUUACACAGAACACCAAUUGCGUAGGCAGCUUACUGAGCCGACACUGACGCUGAGGCACGAAAGCGUGGGGAUCGAACAGGAUUAGAUACCCGGGUAGUCC
RNAcentral lists this ribosomal RNA (446 nucleotides) under uncultured bacterium. RNAcentral's name for it is "partial 16S ribosomal RNA". It matches the Rfam family "Bacterial small subunit ribosomal RNA", at positions 354 to 796 of the family's 1533-position model. The record is from RNAcentral.